This 497-nucleotide ribosomal RNA is filed under the name uncultured bacterium. RNAcentral's name for it is "partial 16S ribosomal RNA". It matches the Rfam family "Bacterial small subunit ribosomal RNA", at positions 28 to 507 of the family's 1533-position model. The record is from RNAcentral.
GAUGAACGCUGGCGGCGUGCCUAACACAUGCAAGUCGAGCGAACAGACGAGGCGUUUGCUCCUGUGACGUUUGGGGCGGGCGUGUGAGUAACACGUGAAUAACUCACCUAUAGGAGUGGGAUAAGGUCGGGAAACCGGAGCUAACACCGGAGAAUAUAUUGAACCGCAUGGUUCAAUAGUGAAAUACGGCUUUGCUGUCACUUAUAGAUGGAUCCACGCCGCAUUGGCUAGUUGGUAAGGUAACGGCCUACCAAGGCUACGAUGCGUAGCCGACCUGAGAGGAUGAUCGGCCACACUGGAACUGAGACACGGUCCAGACUCCUACGGGAGGCAGCAGUGGGGAAUCUUCGGCAAUGGGCGAAAGCCUGACGCAGCAACGCCGCGUGUGUGAUGAAGGUCUUCGGAUCGUAAAGCACUGUUAUUAGGGAAGAACAGAUGUGUACGUAGCCAUGCAGGUCUUGACGGUACCGAAUCAAAAAGCAACGGCUAACUACGUG